Non-coding RNA from Brassica rapa (field mustard), 222 nucleotides. Lineage: Eukaryota; Viridiplantae; Streptophyta; Magnoliopsida; Brassicales; Brassicaceae. The record is from Rfam.
UCCACCCUACAAACCUCGAGUUCAGUUCGUCUUCCUCUCCCAUGCUUCUCACAUCAUCACACUCAUCUUCUCCCCAUUACAAAUCUCCAAGACCCACAACACUCGACACUAUCAAGAUGUCACCACUUCACGAAGAUCCUCAAGAUUCAAGAGUUAUGAUCGAUUUCUUCUAGAUUUACCCCCAUCUCUCUCUCUCAUUCAUGCUUUUGUGUGUGUGUUUUC